UACGUAGGUGGCAAGCGUUGUCCGGAUUUAUUGGGUUUAAAGGGUGCGUAGGCGGCCCUGUAAGUCAGUGCUGAAAUAUCCCAGCUUAACUGGGAGGGUGGCAUUGAUACUGCGGGGCUAGAGUACAGAUGAGGUAGGCGGAAUUGACGGUGUAGCGGUGAAAUGCUUAGAUAUGACAUAGAAUACCAAUUGCGAAGGCAGCUGGCUACGCGAAUAUUGACACUCAGGCACGAAAGCGUGGGGAUCAAACAGG
Molecule: ribosomal RNA, 253 nt
Filed under: uncultured bacterium
Lineage: Bacteria
Description: partial 16S ribosomal RNA
Rfam family: Bacterial small subunit ribosomal RNA
Source: RNAcentral